GAAUGAAUUUAACUGAAAUAAAAAAAAUUAAAAAAAAUAUACUGCAUACAAGUAUUGCAUAAAUGAAAGAACAACUUAAAUUUAAUAAAUAAUCAGACAGAUUUAUUGACAUUAUAUUUACUAAAUGUACAUACCUACUGCUCCCGCUACACAUUAGAUAAAUAAAUAUAUAUGUACAUAUUAUAUAUAUCAACUAGUUUUACAAUUUAAAGUCUUAACUAACAACGAAUGAAUACACAACGCCGUCUUAAAGGAUCUAAUAUAUUGUCAACAAUUCAACAGCAAGGUGCCAAUGAUAAACCAAAAACAAUUAGGUAACAAGGUGAAGAAGUUAAGUUGCACAGAAGCCAACACAACAGAAAAGACGCACACGACGAAUCACAACAACCACAUACACCUACCAGUAAAGGGAUGUACAAUGCCGAGCUUACGCACAGAUGAUUAAAUAAGAACAAAUGUGUACGCAUCUACUCGGUGCGCAGUGCGGAUGAUCUAACGGUGAUAUAAGCUUGAAUUCUCAACAACAACAAAAACAAUAAAAAAAGUUAAAAGCGCUGUAAGGUACGUGCAGCAGCACAAUAACCGUUAUUGGAAACUAUUGUCAAAGAGUUAAGGUGCACGGAGCUAUAAUAACGGCAACAAGGUUUAAUUUGCAAAUACAAGCAAAAGUACAUACACAUACACAAACCCACACUUACACACUUACACAGCAACUGAACAAUACUGGUACUGCAGCGCUGGUGAACUGAAAGUGUUACGAAAAUAUUGCAGCAAAAACAUUGGAAAUCGCUAGAGGACUAACAACAACAGAAACAACAUAACAUCAAUAUACCAACAACAUACAAAACAACAAAAGCAUAAUAGAGCAACUACAGGUGACAUCAACUGGCGUUCAACGUAGCGCACCGAGUUUCAGCCAGAGCAAAUGGAGCAACAGCAGCAACAGCAGCAACAACACCAACACAAGAAACGCAAUGUUGUGGACUCUCGCCAACUUAAUUGACGAACAACAUAAUUCAACGAAUUACAACAAAAACCAAAACCAAAACCAAGCGAAAACAAAAAAACAACAACAACAACAACCAGCACAGAUGCCCCAAAAUAGCAGCAUAACGGAAUAUCAUAGAUAAAAA
This is a long non-coding RNA of Bactrocera tryoni, 1133 nucleotides long. RefSeq lists it as uncharacterized. Lineage: Eukaryota; Metazoa; Arthropoda; Insecta; Diptera; Tephritidae. The transcript is spliced from 2 exons. The record is from RefSeq and is a predicted model, not a curated record.